ACGGGAGGCAGCAGUGGGGGAUAUUGCACAAUGGGGGAAACCCUGAUGCAGCGACGCCGCGUGAGUGAUGAAGUAUUUCGGUAUGUAAAGCUCUAUCAGCAGGGAAGAUAAUGACGGUACCUGACUAAGAAGCCCCGGCUAACUACGUGCCAGCAGCCGCGGUAAUACGUAGGGGGCAAGCGUUAUCCGGAUUUACUGGGUGUAAAGGGUGCGUAGGCGGCUCAUAAAGUCAGAUGUGAAAUACCGAGGCUCAACCUCGGAGCUGCAUUUGAAACUUAUGGGCUUGAGUGAAGUAGAGGUAAGCGGAAUUCCUAGUGUAGCGGUGAAAUGCGUAGAUAUUAGGAGGAACACCAGUGGCGAAGGCGGCUUACUGGGCUUUAACUGACGCUGAGGCACGAAAGCAUGGGUAGCAAACAGGAUUAGAUACCCUGGUA
This 434-nucleotide ribosomal RNA is filed under the name uncultured bacterium. Its description in RNAcentral is "partial 16S ribosomal RNA". It matches the Rfam family "Bacterial small subunit ribosomal RNA", at positions 341 to 792 of the family's 1533-position model. The record is from RNAcentral.